GGAGAGAGCCACCUCGUCGCUGCCCACGCUUGUGAAGUUCGAGCGAACGCUCGUUCAACUGUUCGGGCUAGGCAACGAGGUCGAUGUGCGGCCGCCCUGGCUCCUACACGUGCUCGAACACUACGGCCUGUCGGCGUGCCGCACAUCGCUCUCCACUCA
This is a non-coding RNA of Xanthomonas translucens pv. undulosa, 159 nucleotides long. Lineage: Bacteria; Pseudomonadati; Pseudomonadota; Gammaproteobacteria; Lysobacterales; Lysobacteraceae. The record is from Rfam.